CCUACGGGAGGCAGCAGUAAGGAAUAUUGCGCAAUGGGCGACAGCCUGACGCAGCGACGCCGCGUGGGGGAUGAAGGUCUUCGGAUUGUAAACCCCUUUCGGCAGGGAAGAUGGAACGGGUAACCGUUCGGACGGUACCUGCAGAAGCAGCCACGGCUAACUUCGUGCCAGCAGCCGCGGUAAUACGAAGGUGGCAAGAGUUGUUCGGAUUUACUGGGCGUACAGGGAGCGUAGGCGGUUGGGUAAGCCCUCCGUGAAAUCUCCGGGCCUAACCCGGAAAGUGCGGAGGGGACUGCUCGGCUAGAGGAUGGGAGAGGAGCGCGGAAUUCCCGGUGUAGCGGUGAAAUGCGUAGAGAUCGGGAGGAAGGCCGGUGGCGAAGGCGGCGCUCUGGAACAUAUCUGACGCUGAGGCUCGAAAGCGUGGGGAGCAAACAGGAUUAGAUACCCUGGUAGUCCACGCCCUAAACGAUGUCAACUGGUUGUUGGAGGAGUCAAUCUUUCAGUAACGCAGCUAACGCGUGAAGUUGACCGCCUGGGGAGUACGAUCGCAAGAUUAAAACUCAAAGGAAUUGACGGA
This 577-nucleotide ribosomal RNA is filed under the name uncultured bacterium. RNAcentral's name for it is "bacterial SSU rRNA". It matches the Rfam family "Bacterial small subunit ribosomal RNA", at positions 338 to 917 of the family's 1533-position model. The record is from RNAcentral.